Lycium ferocissimum is the source of this 806-nucleotide long non-coding RNA. RefSeq lists it as uncharacterized. The record is from RefSeq and is a predicted model, not a curated record. Lineage: Eukaryota; Viridiplantae; Streptophyta; Magnoliopsida; Solanales; Solanaceae. The transcript is spliced from 3 exons.
AUGCGACGGAAGGUGCGACUCGCAGACACGACAUGCGACGCCACAGUCCCGUCGCAAGUUGUGACAGAGAGAUUUUGUCCAGACUUUUCUGGACUACUUUAAAUAAGACCCAACUCGUCCAAAAUCAUAUUUUCAUCAUUCUUGGUCAAGAAAACCUCUAGAAUACUCUCUAACCUUCAUCCACACGAAAAUUCAAGGGAAAUCCAUAAUCAAUAACACCAAAUCCAUGAACCCAAGUGUAUGAAACCUAGCCAAAGUUCAUCUAAUUCAAGAAAACCCAAGGGAAGUGAAGUAGGGUUUUGGUGCUAGAGGAGUAACUCCACUCAAGACUUGUUCAACCACUACCUAAGAUCAAAGUUGAAGGGAUUGAAGGACAUUGUGAUACGCCCAAAAGCAGGAAGUUAAGGUACUGAUAUACAGGACGACACAUCUACUCAGUAAGACAGCAUUCGUAUCAGCUUAUUGGUGAGCCCCAUCUCAUUCGGGGUUUAGUCAAUUUUUAUUUUAUGAUUAAUUAUGCAUCUAAAGGUAUCUUUGGGGGCCUUGUCCAAACAAGUAUGUUUUCCGGUCGGACUCAUGAUAGAGGUUUCAUAGACUAGACAAGUCGGUUAUGUUAUGUCAGACAUUCAGAGUCGUAUAGCCAUUUUCGGCUCAUUCAUGUUAUUUCCACACUCAUGUUUAAACAAGUAUUUUUAUUAAGCAUUAUGACUUACUACGUUUUAUAAAGGCUCAUCAUGCAUUCACGUUAUAUUUCCGCUCAUGUAUGCCUCAUGAUAGUUCAGCAAGCCAUGUGGUUCGCUCGGUCA